UAGUCCACGCUGUAAACGAUGAUUACUCGUUGUCGGCGAUACACAGUCGGUGGCUAAGCGAAAGUGAUAAGUAAUCCACCUGGGGAGUACGAUCGCAAGGUUGAAACUCAAAGGAAUUGACGGGGGCCCGCACAAGCGGAGGAGCAUGUGGUUUAAUUCGAUGAUACGGCGAGGAACCUUACCUGGGCUUAAAUGUAGAGUGCAUGAUUGGGAAACCAGUCUUUUCUUCGGAACUCUUUACAAGGUGCUGCAUGGUUGUCGUCAGCUCGUGCCGUGAGGUGUCGGGUUAAGUCCCAUAACGAGCGCAACCCCUACCUUUAGUUGCCAUCAGGUAAUGCUGGGGACUCUAGAGGAACUGCCUACGCAAGUAGCGAGGAAGGUGGGGAUGACGUCAAAUCAUCACGGCCCUUACGUCCUGGGCUACACACGUGCUACAAUGGUAGGUACAGAGAGCAGCCACUACGCGAGUAGGAGCGAAUCUACAAAACCUAUCACAGUUCGGAUCGGAGU
This 510-nucleotide ribosomal RNA is filed under the name uncultured bacterium. RNAcentral describes it as "bacterial SSU rRNA". It matches the Rfam family "Bacterial small subunit ribosomal RNA", at positions 791 to 1304 of the family's 1533-position model. The record is from RNAcentral.